CUAUAUCCCCAGAGACCAGUUGGCUCUAUUAUAGCAACCUGUUAUAGUGAUAAUAACCGGUUAUCUUGUGUUCCAUGAACUAUAUCCCCAGAGACCAGUUGGCUCUAUUAUAGCAACCUGUUAUAGUGAUAACAACCGGUUAUCUUGUGUUCCUAGAUCAGUGAUAUCUGUUUCCAGCUGACCCCAUGACAGUCAUUGUCUCGUCAUCAUGAGAUCACACCACCUCUUCCUCCUGUUCUACCUCACAGCUCUCUGCUGCUACUGGGGAGCAUCAGAUGCACAACGAAAUGAGACCUGCCUUACGCAAG
This is a long non-coding RNA of Oncorhynchus keta (chum salmon), 308 nucleotides long. RefSeq lists it as uncharacterized. NCBI's taxonomy places the organism in Eukaryota, Metazoa, Chordata, Actinopteri, Salmoniformes, Salmonidae. The transcript is spliced from 3 exons. The record is from RefSeq and is a predicted model, not a curated record.